AUGGCUGUGUGUCUUGACCCUGAACUAUGACCCGCUAUCGCCGUGUAGUCAUCAGGUCGCUUGGACUCGCGCUUCUCGGCCUUUUCGCAUAGGUCACCGCAGUUGGCGUGCUCGCAAAUGUCACAGAUAUUGGAUUUGGGUGCCCUGUAGAACUGUCUGGCACGGCGAGCUGUAUAUCAAGGCGCCUUCUCCGUAAUGGAAGCCGAUUUGGAGAUUAUUGCCCUGACUGGAAAAGCGUUCGGCGAACAUGAGAAGCGCCUGAAGGCCGACUACAGUAUCCUGCGAUGCCACAAAACCACCUUUGGGAUUUCGCUGGUCCAUCAACCAGUUCAAGACGGGCAGGGCAUCGCCCACCAAGUUAUUUUCCAGUAGAGCCAAGGCGGCGUAAGCGGAGAUCUCAAUGUUGACGCUACGAGUGGCAUUAUACCAGGGUGAUUGUUGCUCACCAGCGGGCGCCGUUUUGUUCCACCACUUGAGGCCAUCUGGAAGAUAGUUGCACUAUUACAGCCAGUGUCACAAAUGCAGUCAGACUGAUGCCAUCGUCGCCAAAUCUCUCGAAUACGUCGCCACGCUCCUCGAAGCCACCGUUUGCUGAUUGAACACUUCCCAAAUAGGUUAGUGCCUUUUGCAGGACAUUGCUAUCCACUUGAGUGAAUGGAGCCGCUUGUCGAAGUGAGCGAGCCACGUACGCUGUCAGCCAGGUGGAACUCCGCUUGAUAUCUAAUCCAAAUGCACUGAAGGCACCAUUCUCAUGGCGAUAAUAAAGAAUUCUCUGGUAGCCUAUAGCCAGAUUGUUUGUGGCACGCAGUUCCACUUCGGGCGUGAUAACGUAAUACUAUUAGAUUUGGUACAAAAUUAACCAUGGUCUGUUCGCCGCAGCCUGUUGGCAGAAGGAUAAGGCUAUCCAGAUUACCCACUAAGCUGCCAAUGAGAUCGCCAACGGCUGAUACUUCAAUACGUGUGGAUUCCGGAAUGGCGUUGCGUGGAACCGCAAUGGUGACGUUCCUUCUAUUCUGGGCAUUGGAGUUAAGUUCGAAGAGGAAUCCUCUGUUGAUCCGCUCCAUGGCUCCAGGGUGCUCCACCAGCAGAUUUUGUUCGACUGUAUCGCCAGCCUGGGAGGAGGCAGCCAUUGCCUUGACCAAGAGGGGCCCCACUCUCUUCGGAGUCACGAUGAAGGACACGGAGCGGGCGGAUCGUCCCGGUACCUGCAAGGAUCUACGUCUGUAGAGUUCCACCUCUGAAAAUUGUAUAAAUAGUUAAAGAAUCGUAAAGGUCAUAACAGUAACACGGAAAACUCACUUGGUUGGUUGGUGGCCUUAGGAUCCAGUUGUGGGAAAUCAAAGUCCAGCGCUGAGUUGU
This is a non-coding RNA of Drosophila melanogaster (fruit fly), 1359 nucleotides long. The record is from Ensembl. Lineage: Eukaryota; Metazoa; Arthropoda; Insecta; Diptera; Drosophilidae.